This 777-nucleotide ribosomal RNA is filed under the name Bafodeya benna. Its description in RNAcentral is "eukaryotic LSU rRNA". The stretch from base 337 to 492 matches the Rfam family "5.8S ribosomal RNA". The record is from RNAcentral. Lineage: Eukaryota; Viridiplantae; Streptophyta; Magnoliopsida; Malpighiales; Chrysobalanaceae.
GACCGCGCCGACGUGGGUGCUUCGUCGCUCGCGACGUCGUGAGAAGUUCACUGAACCUUAUCAUUUAGAGGAAGGAGAAGUCGUAACAAGGUUUCCGUAGGUGAACCUGCGGAAGGAUCAUUGUCGAAACUUUGCCCAGCAGAACGACCUGCGAACCAGUUGCCUGAAUACGUGGGGAUCGUGGGGGGCCUUGGCUCCUCCUCUCUCCCCGAACCAACAACUAAAAUGCCGGCGCGAGUUGCGCCAAGGAAUUCACAAACCAGAAGACCGCUGUCCCAGUCCCAAGAAGGGGGCUAUAUAGGAGGCAGCGGCCUUUCGUAUCGAACGAACGAAAACGACUCUCGGCAACGGAUAUCUUGGCUCUCGCAUCGAUGAAGAACGUAGCGAAAUGCGAUACUUGGUGUGAAUUGCAGAAUCCCGGGAACCAUCGAGUCUUUGAACGCAAGUUGCGCCCGAAGCCUUUUGGCCGGGGGCACGUCUGCCUGGGUGUCACGCACCGUCGCCCCAAACCACCCCCGUUUGCGGGAGUGCCGGGGCCGGAUGUUGGCCUCCCGUUAGCUACGGGUAGCGGUUGGCCCAAAUUCGUAGACUUUGGCGGCGUACGCCACGACGAUCGGUGGUUUUGGCCCUCGGACUCGGUCGUGCGCGAACUCCCCGUCACGGACCCAAAUGCGUUCCUUGCGAGCGCUGCUCGUGCGACCCCAGGUCAGGCGGGACUACCCGCUGAGUUUAAGCAUAUCAAUAAGCGCAAGGAAAAGAAACUUACCAGGAUUGGCC